RNAcentral lists this long non-coding RNA (1147 nucleotides) under Callithrix jacchus (white-tufted-ear marmoset). RNAcentral describes it as "lncRNA (ENSCJAG00000056920.2)". The record is from RNAcentral. Lineage: Eukaryota; Metazoa; Chordata; Mammalia; Primates; Cebidae.
GGUGUGAGCUGGGGGAAGACUGAAGGAAGAUGGGAAGUGAAGCAGGGAAGGAGAGAAAGAAACACAGGUUGGUGCAUGAUUGAGCUGGUCAUAGCUCAGAGCGAAGCACACCAGGUCACUCAGCCAUGCAACAUCUUCAGAGAAGCCAGGACUAGAAGAAGAAGAAAGAGGCAUCUCCUGGUGAUUUUCCAUCAUCUGUCUUUCACUGGUCCAAACUGACCCUACGGGCCUUAACUCCCCUGGAAGUGUGGUCCCUUCAGACAGCUUCUGGGAAGCCACAUCCCAGGGCACAGUGCUUUAUCUGGAUCUAGAAAGAGUGAGAUGAGCCAGAGCCUCUGCAUGGCUACUUGGGUUGGACCAGGACACCAGAGUUGCUGUGGUUCCAUGGAGGGUAAGACGCCAGGCCUAGGGGCAGACAUCACCCGGUGGGAGGUGGAGCCUGUAGCAGUUAGAAGAUGAGCUGGCAUGGGGCCUGGGCUCCCCUGAGCAAGUAAGUGAGGCUGGGGGUGUCACUGGGGGUGCAACCAGUGGAGCUAAGUCAACCCGGAGAGGUCUGUGAGUUAACUACAAGCUCCAGGGAGAGUUUGCAUCUGCGAACUCCUCUCAUCUCUGACGCAGUCCUGGGCUGUCAACAGGAUGUAAAAUCUGAAGCCCUGGAUUUCAGAUGUGGGAAGUCCGGUCUUCUCCAAGUGACCCAUCCAGGAUCACAGAUCAACCAAGGGUGGGUCUUCAGACUCUGAGCCCAGUGCUCUUUCCACUGUGCUACGUGGUUGCAAAACAUUCUCAGAUUUCCAUUUCUGGGACUGUGUUUGGUUUGGAGGCACCUGCUGAAAGACAGAGCAGCACGUCCCGAGUCUUGUUUCCUAUUUUCAGCGACUUCGGGGCAGUGGAGCAGCAGCAGAUCCAGCUUUCCCGGUUUCAGGACCUGCAAGCUGUCUCCAUACUCCUGCCCUCGGUGCCCUGUACUGUGGCCACUAGAUGGCGGUGUUGCAUAGGGUCUCCGUUGGCUCCAGUCCACAAGAGACUCCACUCAGCGAAACGCCCGACCUCCAUCCAGACUCCGACCUGCACCCAGCACGGCACGACCUUCCCCAGAGACCCGUGGGUGGACCUCACAUUCUCAGUGCCCAAAGAAUUCCUGCUCUAG